UAGUUGUUUUAUGUGAUCUCUCUCUCCAAAAUUAAUAUAUUCGUGAGAGAAACCAUUUUCUUUCUUUUGCAUCUUCUAAAAAACCGAGUUCGCCCUAGCCGCUUCUCUCCCUCACAACCACCCAGGAGUCAUUUUCCAGCGACGUCGCUAGAUCUGUGUUUCCGUCUUGUUGUAGUCACCGCUGUCUACUAGGUAUGUUCAUGUCGUGUUAUGGGCUCGCCGGAGAUUCGCCUCUCAGAUCUUGUUCCUUCGCUUCUACUGUUUGUUUUGCUCCACACCGUGUCGGAGUCGUUGCCUCCUCUUCUUCUGUCAAGUUUUAGACCUUGCCGACGAAGACCCUUUGGCAAUCGAUAAAGACAUCUUUCACGAACUCUGCAAUGGUUGAGUACUGCCCGAGUAUGAACAAGCGAAAUUGUCUGAUAUGAGCAGAAAACAGAGAAUGCUGAAGUCUCCGAUAAGUUGCAUCAGUGUAAUGAGCAAUUGAAGGAGGAAAAAGGAAAAAGGUGAGAGUCUCUGCAAGAAAUAUCAACGACUCAGCACUUGCUUAAGUUAAAAUCUGAGGAAUGUAUCCAGCUUACUUCACAGUGUGCUAAGCUACAGGAGAUAACUAUGGCUCUUGCCAAGGAGCUCCCAACGCUUAAACUGUGCUAAGAAUCUUUGAUAUUUUUGCUCUUUUUUUUUUAAUGUUUUCAGAUUCUGAUAUAAUCAUCAUUCAAUCUUUGGGUUAACCUUUCUGAGACUAUAUUCUUGUUUUGCGUUCAGGGUUUCUGAUCUUAGCUUGGAGGAAGAUGAUGUCCUGAAGCUAGCCAUGUUGGGGAAACGCUAAGACAAAAGAUACUAUUGCCACACUAGUCAAGUCUUUAGUUAUCAGAAAUAGAUAGACAAUGAUAAUUUCAAUCCAAAGUCUUGUGGGAUGAGCUCACGUUUAAAGAGUGCUAUUUGGAGUUGGGAAAAAUCAAGAUUCUUAAUAUGCCUGGAUGAAUAAUAUGUAUCUUUAGAAAGUAGAAAAAAAUGUAAUAUGAUUAUUGUUGUAUUCUUCAUUAAAUACAAAUUAUGAGAAGGUGGAGAUUGAAGCUCCUUUGUUGUUCAGUUUGCCAUAUCAUUUAUGUAAAUUUAGAUUAUUAAUGCUUCUUUCACUUUGGAGAUGAACUCGUUCUGAUU
This is a non-coding RNA of Camelina sativa (false flax), 1161 nucleotides long. The record is from RefSeq and is a predicted model, not a curated record. NCBI's taxonomy places the organism in Eukaryota, Viridiplantae, Streptophyta, Magnoliopsida, Brassicales, Brassicaceae.